This 419-nucleotide ribosomal RNA is filed under the name bacterium. RNAcentral describes it as "partial 16S ribosomal RNA". It matches the Rfam family "Bacterial small subunit ribosomal RNA", at positions 355 to 776 of the family's 1533-position model. The record is from RNAcentral.
UGGGGGAUACUGCACAAUGGGCGAAAGCCUGAUGCAGCGACGCCGCGUGGGGGAUGAAGGCCUUCGGGUUGUAAACUUCUUUUGCUCUGAACAAGGCAUGCUAAUGGGUGUGUUGAGUGUAGGGGUUGAUUAGCGCCGGCUAACUACGUGCCAGCAGCCGCGGUAAUACGUAGGGCGCGAGCGUUGUCCGGAAUUAUUGGGCGUAAAGGGCUUGUAGGUGGCUGGUUGCGUCUGUCGUGAAAGCUCAUGGCUUAACUGUGGGUUUGCGGUGGGUACGGGCUGGCUUGAGUGCAGUAGGGGAGGCUGGAAUUCCUGGUGUAGCGGUGGAAUGCGCAGAUAUCAGGAGGAAUACCGGUGGCGAAGGCGGGUCUCUGGGCUGUUACUGACACUGAGGAGCGAAAGCAUGGGGAGCGAACAGG